CCUACGGGGUGCAGCAGUGAGGAAUAUUGGUCAAUGGACGCAAGUCUGAACCAGCCAUGCCGCGUGCAGGAAGACGGCUCUAUGAGUUGUAAACUGCUUUUGUACGAGGGUAAACGCAGAUACGCGUAUCUGUCUGAAAGUAUCGUACGAAUAAGGAUCGGCUAACUCCGUGCCAGCAGCCGCGGUAAUACGGAGGAUUCAAGCGUUAUCCGGAUUUAUUGGGUUUAAAGGGUGCGUAGGCGGUCGGAUAAGUUAGAGGUGAAAUCCCGAGGCUCAACUUCGGAAUUGCCUCUGAUACUGUUCGGCUAGAGAGGAGUUGAGGUAGGCGGAAUGUAUGGUGUAGCGGUGAAAUGCGUAGAGA
Molecule: ribosomal RNA, 361 nt
Filed under: uncultured bacterium
Lineage: Bacteria
Description: partial 16S ribosomal RNA
Rfam family: Bacterial small subunit ribosomal RNA
Source: RNAcentral